RNAcentral lists this ribosomal RNA (253 nucleotides) under uncultured bacterium. RNAcentral describes it as "partial 16S ribosomal RNA". It matches the Rfam family "Bacterial small subunit ribosomal RNA", at positions 524 to 776 of the family's 1533-position model. The record is from RNAcentral.
UACAGAGGUCCCAAGCGUUGUUCGGAUUCACUGGGCGUAAAGGGUGCGUAGGCGGUCGGGUAAGUCUGACGUGAAAUCUCCAAGCUCAACUUGGAAAUGGCGUCGGAUACUACUCGGCUCGAGGAAUGGAGGGGAGACUGGAAUUCUCGGUGUAGCAGUGAAAUGCGUAGAUAUCGAGAGGAACACCAGUGGCGAAGGCGAGUCUCUGGACAUUUCCUGACGCUGAGGCACGAAAGCCAGGGGAGCAAACGGG